UAUCUCUGUAGAGUCUGCAUAUCAAUAAGCGGAGGAAAAGAAACUAACAAGGAUUCCCCUAGUAACGGCGAGUGAAGCGGGAAGAGCUCAAAUUUGAAAUCUUAAAGGGUUUCCCUUUACGAAUUGUAGUUUAAAGAAGUGUUUUCUGUUGGAGUUUCGGUAAAAGUUCUUUGGAAUAGGACAUCAUAGAGGGUGAGAAUCCCGCUAUUUGACCGUUACUUUCCAGCUGUGUGAUACACUUUCAAAGAGUCGGAUUGUUUGGGAAUGCAGUCCAAAAUGGGUGGUAAAUUUCAUCUAAAGCUAAAUAUUGGCGAGAGACCGAUAGCGAACAAGUACCGUGAGGGAAAGAUGAAAAGAACUUUGAAAAGAGAGUUAAACAGUACGUGAAAUUGUCAAAAGGGAAGCGUUUGACACCAGUGUUGUUUUCUCGAAAAUCAAUUAAAAAUGGCUUGAUUUUGUGUUGUAUUGACCUUAAAAGCUUUCUGCACUUUUUUCAUGUCUUUUUUAAUGCACUUUUCGUUUAACAAGUCAACAUCAGUUUCUUUUGUUGUAAAAAGGUCAUUGGAAGGUGGCUUUCUUUUCGGAGAAAGUGUUUAUAGCCUUUGACUCCUGCAAUCGGAGAGACUGAGGUCUGCAGCGUAGAUCCUUCUUGGAUUAGAUUCAUUUGUGCUAAGUUAUAGCUUUUUAUAGACAACUUGUUGACUAUAUUUAGUCUUGUAGCUUACUCGCUUAUGCAAUUUUACCUACGCUUAGGAUGUUGAACGCGCACAGAGUCUC
RNAcentral lists this ribosomal RNA (777 nucleotides) under uncultured Neocallimastigales. RNAcentral's name for it is "partial large subunit ribosomal RNA". It matches the Rfam family "Eukaryotic large subunit ribosomal RNA", at positions 24 to 611 of the family's 3401-position model. The record is from RNAcentral. Lineage: Eukaryota; Fungi; Neocallimastigomycota; Neocallimastigomycetes; Neocallimastigales.